RNAcentral lists this ribosomal RNA (357 nucleotides) under uncultured bacterium. Its description in RNAcentral is "bacterial SSU rRNA". It matches the Rfam family "Bacterial small subunit ribosomal RNA", at positions 917 to 1271 of the family's 1533-position model. The record is from RNAcentral.
GGACCCGCACAAGUAGUGGAGCAUGUGGUUUAAUUCGAAGAUACGCGCAGAACCUUACCAACACUUGACAUGUUCGUCGCGACUCUAAGAGAUUAGAGUUUUCGGUUCGGCCGGACGAAACACAGGUGCUGCAUGGCUGUCGUCAGCUCGUGUCGUGAGAUGUUGGGUUAAGUCCCGCAACGAGCGCAACCCUCACUUUUAGUUGCCAUCAUUUAGUUGGGGACUCUGGAGAGACUGCCCGUGUAAGCGAGGAGGAAGGCGGGGACGACGUCAAAUCAUCAUGGCCUUUAUGCCUAGGGCUACACACGUGCUACAAUGGCAGGUACAGAGGGCAGCGAAGUCGCGAGGCUAAGCAAA